GGCCGGGAUGAGUCAUACACUGAGUUUAUCAGUUGCCUUACAAGUGCGGCUGAAAGGAUAGCUGGGGAAUCAGAAGAAAGUGCUUUUGUAAAACAUCUGGCCUUUGAAAAUGCUAAUUCCGCCUGCCAAGAAGCAAUUAGACCCCACCUGCAAAGCACCCUUUCAGAUUAUAUUAACAAGGGAAACAGAAUUGCCCUAAGGGCCUUUUCUUAUCAGUUUGAGUAUUAGUAUACCAAAAACAGUGUUGGAAGAGAUUUCUAAAUUGACAGUAGCAGCCUGGAGAAAGCUUCCAGGAGCAGGAGGUACAACCACUGUUCUUUCUAGAAUUAGACAAAAACAAGAAGAACCAUAUAAAAAUUUUGUAACAAGAUUAGAAAAAGCAUUGCAAAGGAUAAUGCCUUCAUCUGAGGAAUCAGAAAUUUUAUUAAAACAAUUGGCUUGGGAAAAUGCUAACUUUCUAUGUAAAGAAUUAAUAAGGCCAAUUAAGAAAACAGGCUCUUUACAGGAUUAUGUAAAAGCCUGCAUAGACGCCUCACCAGCAGUGGUCCAAGGAAUGGCCUAUGCUGCAGCAGUGAAGGGACAGCAUUAUGUAAUUAACCUUUUUCCGGCUUUAGAGACUGCUCUGUUAUCUGGAAGCUCAAAAAAUUCUACUUUUAUUACAAAAAUUACAAAGCAUGAUUAUUAACAGGCAAAAUAAAUGUUUUAUUAGUCAUAUAAGAGGACAUACUAAUUUGCCAGGUAUGCUAUCUUUAGGUAGUAAAAUAGCAGACUUAUUAACCAAAGAACAAUUUAUGGGAAACUCUCUGAGAAGGGAGCUGCCCGACAAUAUUCUGAAGACUCCCCAGCAGGGGACAUGCAUCAGCCUCGCUGUAGGGCAGUACCAGCAAACUCCCUGAGAGGGUACUUGCAUCAGUCCCGGCUGUUUCUGCUUCCCCAGUCUGACCUCCGGUUUCUCCUCCCACACCACCAGCAAGGACGCUGAAGCUCCCAUCUGGAUUCCUGACAGGCUCAUUAAGCCCUACAAUCAAGCCCAGGGAAAGGAGGAAUCGAGGAAGACUGAAAUCUGUGAUGCAUAAACUACAGAAGCUGAGUGUGUCUCCUCCGCAGGCCCAAUCUACACAAGAAGCCAGCCUGCCCACCU
Nannospalax galili (Upper Galilee mountains blind mole rat) is the source of this 1141-nucleotide long non-coding RNA. RefSeq lists it as uncharacterized. The record is from RefSeq and is a predicted model, not a curated record. The transcript is spliced from 2 exons. NCBI's taxonomy places the organism in Eukaryota, Metazoa, Chordata, Mammalia, Rodentia, Spalacidae.